GAAGAGGUCUGGAAAGGCCCGUCAGAGAAGGUAACAACCCUGUAGUCGAAACUCCGUUCCCUCCCGAGUGGAUCCUGAGUACGGCGGGACACGUGAAAUCCCGUCGGAAGCAGGGAGGACCAUCUCCCAAGGCUAAAUACUCCCUAGUGACCGAUAGUGAACCAGUACCGUGAGGGAAAGGUGAAAAGCACCCCGGGAGGGGAGUGAAAGAGAACCUGAAACCGUGUGCCUACAAGUAGUCAGAGCCCGUUAACGGGUGAUGGCGUGCCUUUUGUAGAAUGAACCGGCGAGUUGCGAUUUCGUGCAAGGUUAAGCCGAAAGGCGGAGCCGCAGCGAAAGCGAGUCUGAAGAGGGCGAAAUAGUACGAGGUCGCAGACCCGAAACCAGGUGAUCUACCCAUGUCCAGGGUGAAGGCAAGGUAACACUUGCUGGAGGCCCGAACCCACGCACGUUGAAAAGUGCGGGGAUGAGGUGUGGGUAGGGGUGAAAUGCCAAUC
This 497-nucleotide ribosomal RNA is filed under the name Aeribacillus pallidus. RNAcentral describes it as "partial 23S ribosomal RNA". It matches the Rfam family "Bacterial large subunit ribosomal RNA", at positions 335 to 834 of the family's 2925-position model. Lineage: Bacteria; Bacillati; Bacillota; Bacilli; Caryophanales; Bacillaceae. The record is from RNAcentral.